GAAAGUGAAGAGCCUUCGGGCUGGGUGCGGUGGCUCACCCCUGUAAUCCCAGCACUUUGGGAGGCUGAGGCGGGCGGAUCAUGAGGUCAGGAGAUCGAGAUCAUCCUGGCUAACAGGGUGAAACCUCGUCUCUACUAAAAAUACAAAAAAUUAGCCAGGCGUGGUGGCACGCGCCUGUAAUUCCAGAUACUUGGGAGGCUGAGGCAGAAGAAUCAUUUGAACCCAGGAGGUAGAGGUUGCUGUGAGCUGAGAUGGGGCUAUUGCACUCCAGCCUGGACAACAAGAGCAAAACUCUGUCUCAAAAACAAAAAACAGGCCGGGCGCGGUGGCUCACGCCUGUAAUCCCAGCACUUCGGGAGACCGAGGCGGGCGGAUCAUGAGGUCAGGAGAUCGAGACCAUCCUGGCUAACACGGUGAAACCCCGUCUCUACUAAAACUACAAAAAA
This 446-nucleotide long non-coding RNA is filed under the name Homo sapiens (human). RNAcentral describes it as "novel transcript". Lineage: Eukaryota; Metazoa; Chordata; Mammalia; Primates; Hominidae. The record is from RNAcentral.